Molecule: long non-coding RNA, 343 nt
Filed under: Homo sapiens (human)
Lineage: Eukaryota; Metazoa; Chordata; Mammalia; Primates; Hominidae
Description: HSALNT0326866
Source: RNAcentral
ACAUUAUACAAGCCUAAGUCGUAUCAUGAACUUCUGAAGAGAAUAGAGCCCAACUUGUGUUUUACUUUUAAACUUACUGUCUUCUAUACCUAUGUUUUACACAAUUAUAAGAUUAUUCUUAUUUUUAAAGAGAUCUAGAAAUGAAACCCCUGAAAGAGACUUCUCCCUCUACUUGCCCAUAAAGAUCCUCCAGUUUUCCGCACAGGCUUUUUCCUAGACAUGGAGGAAGUGCCCAGAAAAAUACUGGACGGAUAUACAAAAACAUAAUGCCACAAAAAUUUUCCUAACAAGUAAGGCAGCUGCGGAAAGUCGGCCAGCGUCCCGACCCCAGGGACCUGCAGCC